Molecule: non-coding RNA, 83 nt
Organism: Hypoxylon sp. FL0543
Lineage: Eukaryota; Fungi; Ascomycota; Sordariomycetes; Xylariales; Hypoxylaceae
Source: the annotation of a GenBank genome assembly
GAUGCAGUGGUUGAGUGGUUAACUCGCUCUCUUUGGGCCUAUGCACAUGGGAGAGGUCAGGGGUUCGAACCCUCUACGCGCCU